RNAcentral lists this ribosomal RNA (991 nucleotides) under human gut metagenome. RNAcentral's name for it is "bacterial LSU rRNA". It matches the Rfam family "Bacterial large subunit ribosomal RNA", at positions 1934 to 2925 of the family's 2925-position model. The record is from RNAcentral.
CCGUAACUAUAACGGUCCUAAGGUAGCGAAAUUCCUUGUCGGGUAAGUUCCGACCCGCACGAAAGGCGUAAUGAUUUGAGCACUGUCUCGACAAUGCAUCCGGUGAAAUUGAAGUACCAGUGAAGAUGCUGGUUACCCGCGCCAGGACGGAAAGACCCCAUGGAGCUUUACUCCAGUUUGGUACUGGGAUUCGGUACUGCAUGUACAGGAUAGGUGGGAGACGAAGAAGUUAGGACGCCAGUCUUAACAGAGUCGCUGUUGGGAUACCACCCUUGCAGUAUUGGGUUUCUAACCAGCCGCUGUGAACCAGCGGUGGGACAAUGCCAGGCGGGGAGUUUGACUGGGGCGGUCGCCUCCGAAAGGGUAUCGGAGGCGCUCAAAGGUUCCCUCAGAAUGGUUGGAAACCAUUCGAAGAGUGCAAAGGCAGAAGGGAGCUUGACUGCGACACCGACGGGUGGAGCAGGUACGAAAGUAGGACUUAGUGAUCCGGUGGUAUAAAGUGGGAUUGCCAUCGCUCAACGGAUAAAAGCUACCCUGGGGAUAACAGGCUUAUCACUCCCAAGAGUUCACAUCGACGGAGUGGUUUGGCACCUCGAUGUCGGCUCAUCGCAUCCUGGGGCUGUAGCAGGUCCCAAGGGUUGGGCUGUUCGCCCAUUAAAGCGGUACGCGAGCUGGGUUCAGAACGUCGUGAGACAGUUCGGUCCCUAUCCGGCGCGGGCGUAGGAUAUCUGAGGGGAGCUGGCCUUAGUACGAGAGGACCGGGCUGGACGGACCACUGGUGCAUCAGCUGGAUACCAAAUCCAUAGCUGGGUAGCCAAGUCCGGAAGGGAUAAACGCUGAAGGCAUCUAAGCGUGAAGCCCCCCCCAAGAUGAGAUGUCCCUGUCUAUAAGACAGUAAGACCCCUGAAAGAGUAUCAGGUAGAUAGGGCAGAGGUGGAAGCACGGUAACGUGUGGAGCUGACUGUUACUAAUCGGUCGAGGGCUUGACCAA